Molecule: ribosomal RNA, 383 nt
Filed under: uncultured cyanobacterium
Lineage: Bacteria; Bacillati; Cyanobacteriota
Description: bacterial SSU rRNA
Rfam family: Bacterial small subunit ribosomal RNA
Source: RNAcentral
AACGCGAAGAACCUUACCAGGGCUUGACAUGCCGCGAACUUGAAAGAGAGGGGUGCCCGGGAACGCGGACACAGGUGGUGCAUGGCUGGAGCGUGCCGUGAGGUGUUGGGUUAAGGCAACGAGCGCAACCCGUGUUUAGUUGCCACUAUGAGUUUGGAACCCUGAACAGACCGCCGGUGUUAAGCCGGAGGAAGGAGAGGAUGAGGCCAAGAAUGCCCCUUAUGCCCUGGGCGACACACGUGCUACAAUGGGCGGGACAAAGGGGCGAGCGAGGGUGAGCUAACCAAAAACCCGCAGUGGAUUGCAGGCUGCAACGCCUGCAUGAAGCAGGAAGCUAGUAAGCCGGAGCCAUACGGCGGUGAACGUCCGGGUUGUACACACCG